UUCCGGUUGAUCCCGCCGGACCUGACUGCUAUCGGAUUGAUACUAAGCCAUGCGAGUCUUUGUAGUAAUACAAGGCAUACGGCUCAGUAACGCGUAGUCAACCUACCCUAUGGACAAGAAUAAUCUCGGGAAACUGAGGAUAAUACUCAAUAGAUCAUGAUGCCUGGAAUGGUUUAUGAUUAAAAUGAUUCGUCGCCAUAGGAUGGGACUGCGACCUAUCAGCUUGUUGGUGAGGUAAUGGCCCACCAAGGCGAUUACAGGUACGGGCUCUGAGAGGAGAAGCCCGGAGAUGGGUACUGAGACAAGGACCCAGGCCCUAUGGGGCGCAGCAGGCGAGAAAACUUUGCAAUGUGCGAAAGCACGACAAGGUUAAUCCGAGUGAUUUCUGCUAAAGAAAUCUUUUGUUAGUCAUAAAACCACUGACGAAUAAGGGGUGGGCAAGUUCUGGUGUCAGCCGCCGCGGUAAAACCAGCACCUCAAGUGGUCAGGAGAAUUAUUGGGCCUAAAGCAUCCGUAGCUGGUUCUCUAAGUUUUUGGUUAAAUCUAUGUGCUCAACGCAUAGGCCGCCGAAAAUACUGAAGAGCUAGGGAGUGGGAGAGGUAGACGGUACUUGAUAGGAAGGGGUAAAAUCUUUUGAUCUAUCGAUGACCACCUGUGGCGAAGGCGGUCUACCAGAACACGUUCGACGGUGAGGGAUGAAAGCUGGGGGAGCAAACCGGAUUAGAUACCCGGGUAGUCCCAGCUGUAAACGAUGCAGACUAGAUGAUGCAUUGGCAUAUAGCCAGUGCAGUAUCUCAGGGAAGCCGUUAAGUCUGCCGCCUGGGAAGUACGUACGCAAGUAUGAAACUUAAAGGAAUUGGCGGGGGAGCACCACAAGGGGUGAAGCCUGCGGUUCAAUUGGAUUCAACGCCGGG
RNAcentral lists this ribosomal RNA (914 nucleotides) under uncultured archaeon. RNAcentral describes it as "bacterial SSU rRNA". It matches the Rfam family "Archaeal small subunit ribosomal RNA", at positions 1 to 922 of the family's 1478-position model. The record is from RNAcentral.